Molecule: ribosomal RNA, 464 nt
Filed under: uncultured bacterium
Lineage: Bacteria
Description: partial 16S ribosomal RNA
Rfam family: Bacterial small subunit ribosomal RNA
Source: RNAcentral
ACGAACGCUGGCGGCGUGCUUAACCCCUGCAAGUCGAACGGUAAGGCUCCAGCUUGCUGGGGUACACGAGUGGCGAACGGGUGAGUAACACGUGGGUGACCUGCCCUGCACUUCGGGAUAAGCCUGGGAAACUGGGUCUAAUACCGGAUAGGACCGCACCGUGAGGGUGUGGUGGAAAGUUUUUUCGGUGUGGGAUGGGCCCGCGGCCUAUCAGCUUGUUGGUGGGGUAAUGGCCUACCAAGGCGGCGACGGGUAGCCGGCCUGAGAGGGUGGACGGCCACAUUGGGACUGAGACACGGCCCAGACUCCUACGGGAGGCAGCAGUGGGGAAUAUUGCACAAUGGGCGGAAGCCUGAUGCAGCGACGCCGCGUGGGGGAUGACGGCCUUCGGGUUGUAAACUCCUUUCACCAUCGACGAAGGGUUUCUGACGGUAGAUGGAGAAGAAGCACCGGCUAACUACGUG